This 26-nucleotide non-coding RNA is filed under the name Mus musculus (house mouse). Lineage: Eukaryota; Metazoa; Chordata; Mammalia; Rodentia; Muridae. The record is from RNAcentral.
UAAAAAUGUUGGACAGGCUCAGUGGA